RNAcentral lists this transfer RNA (69 nucleotides) under Marmota marmota marmota (Alpine marmot). It matches the Rfam family "tRNA". From Rfam's summary of the family: Transfer RNA (tRNA) molecules are approximately 80 nucleotides in length. Their secondary structure includes four short double-helical elements and three loops (D, anti-codon, and T loops). RNAcentral also lists the same sequence under 1 other name. The record is from Rfam by way of RNAcentral. Lineage: Eukaryota; Metazoa; Chordata; Mammalia; Rodentia; Sciuridae.
GGGGCUGUGGCUCAGUGGUAGAGUACCCGCCUCACAUGCGUGAGGCACUGGAUUCGAUCCUCAGCACCA